AUGUGCUUAUAUUAGAAAGCACUUCUUCUAGCUCUUAAAGGGUUAAGAAGAGGGACUCCCCUCGCGCCGUCGUCGUCGCUCGGCUUCGGCUUCGGCUUUGGAUUUGGAUUUGGUCAAAUGAUCUGAUUGAUUGAUAAUCUUCAUUUUCUGAAAUUAUUUUUAAUUCCCGUGGGAAUUCAUUAAUUUGUUAACUGUAAACUUCCCAACGUUCUUAUUUUUCAGAAAAAGGCAUGGCCUUUC
RNAcentral lists this long non-coding RNA (240 nucleotides) under Nicotiana benthamiana. RNAcentral describes it as "long non-coding RNA (NBEN_LNC037193)". Lineage: Eukaryota; Viridiplantae; Streptophyta; Magnoliopsida; Solanales; Solanaceae. The record is from RNAcentral.